RNAcentral lists this ribosomal RNA (493 nucleotides) under uncultured bacterium. Its description in RNAcentral is "bacterial SSU rRNA". It matches the Rfam family "Bacterial small subunit ribosomal RNA", at positions 903 to 1397 of the family's 1533-position model. The record is from RNAcentral.
AAAGGAAUAGACGGGGCCCCGCACAAGCGGCGGAGCAUGCGGAUUAAUUCGAUGCAACGCGAAGAACCUUACCUGGGUUUGACAUAUACCGGAAACGUCAAGAGAUAGGCGCCCCGCAAGGUCGGUAUACAGGUGGUGCAUGGCUGUCGUCAGCUCGUGUCGUGAGAUGUUGGGUUAAGUCCCGCAACGAGCGCAACCCUCGUCCAAUGUUGCCAGCGGAUAAUGCCGGGGACUCAUUGGAGACCGCCGGGGUCAACUCGGAGGAAGGUGGGGAUGACGUCAAGUCAUCAUGCCCCUUAUGUCCAGGGCUUCACGCAUGCUACAAUGGCCGGUACAAAGAGCUGCAAACCUGCAAGGGUGAGCGAAUCUCAAAAAGCCGGUCUCAGUUCGGAUUGGGGUCUGCAACUCGACCCCAUGAAGUAGGAGUCGCUAGUAAUCGCAGAUCAGCAACGCUGCGGUGAAUACGUUCCCGGGGCUUGCACACACCGCCCGU